AUUGGGACCGCGAAGCCUAAAGGCAUAAUGAAAGUGAAGGUCGUACUCUAAGGUCGACCGAGGGAGGAUGGGCCGCGUUUACGCGUUGCUCCGCACUCCCGGGGCGUCUCGCUCUCAUUGCGAGAAGAGGCGCACCCAGAGCGUACACGUUGGGACCCGAAAGAUGGUGAACUAUGCCUGGUCAGGACGAAGUCAGGGGAAACCCUGAUGGAGGUCCGUAGCGAUUCUGACGUGCAAAUCGAUCGUCGGAACUGGGUAUAGGGGCGAAAGACUAAUCGAACCAUCUAGUAGCUGGUUCCCUCCGAAGUUUCCCUCAGGAUAGCUGGCACUCGUUCGUUCAUAAUUGAACGUCAAACGAGUCUCAUCUGGUAAAGCGAAUGAUUAGAGGCCUUGGGGCCGAAACGACCUCAACCUAUUCUCAAACUUUAAAUGGGUGAGAUCUCUGGCUUGCUUGAACUAUGAAGCCACGAGAAAAAUUAUAAUAUAAUAUACGGAUCAGAGCGCCAAGUGGGCCAAUUUU
This 520-nucleotide ribosomal RNA is filed under the name Mischocyttarus pallidipectus. RNAcentral describes it as "eukaryotic LSU rRNA". It matches the Rfam family "Eukaryotic large subunit ribosomal RNA", at positions 693 to 1138 of the family's 3401-position model. The record is from RNAcentral. Lineage: Eukaryota; Metazoa; Arthropoda; Insecta; Hymenoptera; Vespidae.